UCCGUAGGCGGGCGUCUAAGUCAGUGGUGAAAUCUUACAGCUCAACUGUAAAAUUGCCAUUGAUACUGGAUGUCUUGAAUUAGUGUGAAGUGGUUAGAAUGUGUAGUGUAGCGGUGAAAUGCAUAGAUAUUACACAGAAUACCAAUUGCGAAGGGAGAUCACUAACACUAUAUUGACGCUGAGGGACGAAAGCGUGGGGAGCGAACAGGAUUAGAUACCCUGGUAGUCC
Molecule: ribosomal RNA, 229 nt
Filed under: uncultured bacterium
Lineage: Bacteria
Description: partial 16S ribosomal RNA
Rfam family: Bacterial small subunit ribosomal RNA
Source: RNAcentral